Molecule: ribosomal RNA, 441 nt
Filed under: uncultured bacterium
Lineage: Bacteria
Description: partial 16S ribosomal RNA
Rfam family: Bacterial small subunit ribosomal RNA
Source: RNAcentral
CCUACGGGUGGCAGCAGUGGGGGAUAUUGCACAAUGGGGGAAACCCUGCUGCAGCGACGCCGCGUGUGGGAAGACGGUCCUCUGGAUUGUAAACCACUGUCCCCAGGGACGAAGAUGACGGUACCUGACCACGAAGCCCCGGCUAACUACGUCCCAGCAGCCGCGGUAAUACGUCGGGGGCAAGCGUUAUCCGGAUUUACUGGGUGUAAAGGGGGCGCAGACGGCAAUGCAAGCCAGGAGUGAAAGCCCGGGGCCCAACCCCGGGACUGCUCUUGGAACUGCAUGGAUGGAGUACAGGAGGGGCAGGCGGAAUUCCUAGUGUAGCGGUGAAAUGCGUAGAUAUUAGGAGGAACACCGGUGGCGAAGGCGGCCUGCUGGACUGUGACUGACGUUGAGGCCCGAAGGCGUGGGUAGCAAACAGGAUUAGAUACCCUUGUAGUC